This 174-nucleotide ribosomal RNA is filed under the name Brachoria hansonia. RNAcentral's name for it is "partial small subunit ribosomal RNA gene". The record is from RNAcentral. Lineage: Eukaryota; Metazoa; Arthropoda; Diplopoda; Polydesmida; Xystodesmidae.
GGAAUCACGGAGGGGGAUCAGGAUUGGUCUUUUGAAGGUGGAUUUGUAAGUAAUUAUUUUUAUAGUAUUAAUAAAUGAAGGGUGGAAUAACAUGUGUACAUAUUGCCCGUCGCUCUCGUUAUUUUUGAGAUAAGUCGUAACAUAGUUGAUGAACUGGAAAGUGUAUCUUUUUGA